UACGGAGGGUGCAAGCGUUAUCCGGAUUCACUGGGUUUAAAGGGUGCGUAGGUGGGUAUGUAAGUCAGUGGUGAAAUCCCCGAGCUUAACUUGGGAACUGCCGUUGAUACUAUAUAUCUUGAAUAUCGCGUAGGUAAGCGGAAUAUGUCAUGUAGCGGUGAAAUGCUUAGAUAUGACAUAGAACACCAAAUUGCGAAGGCAGCUUACUUCACGAUUAUUGACACUGAGGCACGAAAGCGUGGGGAGCAAACAGG
RNAcentral lists this ribosomal RNA (254 nucleotides) under uncultured bacterium. RNAcentral describes it as "partial 16S ribosomal RNA". It matches the Rfam family "Bacterial small subunit ribosomal RNA", at positions 524 to 776 of the family's 1533-position model. The record is from RNAcentral.